RNAcentral lists this ribosomal RNA (180 nucleotides) under uncultured Glomeromycotina. RNAcentral describes it as "partial small subunit ribosomal RNA". It matches the Rfam family "Eukaryotic small subunit ribosomal RNA", at positions 651 to 830 of the family's 1831-position model. The record is from RNAcentral. Lineage: Eukaryota; Fungi; Glomeromycota.
GGAUUAAUUUACUGGUCGUGCUAUUGUACGUACUGGUUUUAUUGAUUCCUCCCUUCUGACGAACUAUGAUGCCAUUAAUUUGGUGUCUUAGGGAAUCAGGACUGUUACUUUGAAAAAAUUAGAGUGUUCAAAACAAGCUUAUGCUUGAAUACAUUAGCAUGGAAUAACGGAAUAGGACUU